AAAAAAAAAAGAUUGAUUCAAUUUCUUUUAUAGAUAUUGACCCAUUCAGAUUGUCUGUAUAGGAAUGGAAAAGCCCUUCCUUCAUCCUCUUAAAGUUUAGGCUAGGUCUGAGGAUUAAAUUGAUGCAAUAUUCACAGGAGAAAAAGAUACAUAAUUACUUACAAGUUUUACAUGGCGUGGGAUCCUCAUAAGAAAACGAAGACCUGAAGAAGUAGUUAGAGUCAGUUACUCAUAUAUAGGAUUGAACAAAGAAAAAUUGUGAAUAAGCAGCUAAAUCAUGCAGAGAGGUUUAAAAGAUAACAUUUUAUUUAAAUAGUCUGCACAGAAUUCUGUUUUGAUUUCUUAUCCUUAAAGGUAAGGAUGUUACAUCUUUCGUGUAUAGGAAGGACAUCUUUUUACAUGGGAAUUUUAUCUUCUUCUAAGAAACAGGGCAGAAGCCAAAGUGAUCAUUUUGUACCUGCUCAUUUUCAAAUGUCUUUAACUUAAAUAACCAAUAUAACAGAAUAGUGUAUUUUAACCCCACUCACCUAUUUUUUCUUGUGUGAUUUUUGGCAUAUUGUAACUAUCAAGGAAUUGGUCUAUUUCACUUAAGUUAUCAAAUUUAGGGCACAGAAUUGUUUACAGUAGUCCUUGAUUAUCCUUUUAAUAUCUAUGGCAUCUGAAAUGAUGACCCCUCUUUUAUUUCUGAUUUUGAUAAUUUGUAUCUCUCUUUUUCCCAUCAGUUCUCUUGAUUAUAUUAAUUGUAUUGAUAUUUUCCAAAGAACCAGUUUUUGGUUUUAUUGAUUUUUUUCUCUAUUGAUUUCCUGUUUUCAGUUUCAUCGAUUUCUACUUUAAUUUUUAUAAUUUCAUUUCUUUUGCUUUCCUUGGAUUUACUUGACCCUUCCUCCUAGUUUUCUAAAAUGGAAGGUAAAAUAGUUGAUUUUAGAUCAUUCUUCUUUUCUAAUAUAUGCAUUCGAUGGUUUAAAUUUCCCUCUAUGGCACAUACCUGUAAUCCCAGUGGCUUGGGAGACUAAGGCAGGAGGAUCGCUAGUUCAAAGCCAGCCUCAGCAAUGGCGAGGUGCUAAGCAACUCAGUGAGACCUUGUCUCUACAUAAAUACAAAACAGGGCAGGGGAUGUGGCUCAGUGGUUGAGUGUCCCUGAGUUCAAUCCCCAAUACCCACCCCGCUCUCCCCCAUAUAAAUAAAAUUCCCUCUAAACACUGCUUUAAUUGCAUCCUGCAAAUUUUGAUAAGUUGCGCUUUCAUUUCAUUUAGUUCAAAAUAUGAUUUCUCUUGAGAUUUCUUCUUUGAUCCACUUAUUAUUUAGAAGUGUGUUUGUUAUUGAUUUCUAGUUUAGUUCCACUGUGUUCUGAGAGUAGACAUUAUAUGAUUUCUAUUUUAAAUUUGUUAAGGUGUGUUUAAUAUGGUCUGUCUUGGUAAAUGUUCCAGGUAAGCUGAGAAAAGUGCAUAUUCUGCUGUUGUUGAAUGAAAUGGUCUUCAUGUCAAUUAUAUCCAGCUGAUUGAUGGUGUUGUUGAGUUCAACUAUUCUCUUAAUGAUUUUCUGUCUGCUGGGUCUGUCCAUUUCUGACAAAGGGUGUUGAAAUCUCCAACUGUAAUAGUGGGUUCAUUUCUUUCUCCUUGUAGUUCUAUCAGUUUUUGAUUCAUGUACUUCGAUGCUCUGUUAUUAAAUAUAUGCACCUUAAGGAUUGUUAUGUCUUCUUGGAGAAUUGACUUCUUUAUCACCAGGUAAUGACUUUAAAAAAAAAAUCUUUGAUGACAUUCCUUACUUUUAAGUCUGCUAGGGUCUAAAACUUCCAUAGCUACUUCUGUGUUCUUUUGAUUAUCAUUAGCAUGGUAUUUUUUUCUCCAUCUGUUUACAUUGAAACCUACAUGCAUCUUCAUAUUUUAAAUGGAUUUUUCAAAGACAACAUAUAGCUGGGCCUUAUUUUUUUAAUCCAUUUUGGCAGUUUGUCUUUCAAUUGGUACAUUUAGUGCAUUGAUGGUCAAAGUGGUGAUUGAUAUGGUUGGAUUAAUAUCUGCCAUUUUAAUUUCUGUUUUCUAUUUGUCAUCCCUUGUUCUUUUGCUUCUAUUUUUGUCUUUCACUUUUUUUUCCUGCCAUUUGUGUGUGUGUGUGUUUAGAAAAAGUUUUAUUGCUUUUCUCACAAAGGAAAAACACAGAGGACUCUUGUCCCAAAGGCUGUGAUUCUCUCAUUUGUGUUUUUAAUUGUAAUUUUUAAUGAUUCCAUUUCUCUCAUUUCUUUGCAUACCAGUUGUGCCCUUUUAAAGUACUUUUUUUAGUAGUUACCUUGGAGGUUGUAACAUACAGUUAUAACUUAUCCAAGUCCCCCUUUAAAUAACACUAUCCCCCUUCAUGAGUAGUGUAAGUACAUUAAAAUAAGAGUAAUCUUAAUUCCUCUCUUCAGUCCCUUGUACUAUGUUCUUGUUCGUUUCACUUACACACAUAUUCACUUAGGCACAUGUACACACAUAUAUAAGAUCUAUA
Molecule: long non-coding RNA, 2481 nt
Filed under: Marmota monax (woodchuck)
Lineage: Eukaryota; Metazoa; Chordata; Mammalia; Rodentia; Sciuridae
Source: RNAcentral